Molecule: RNA transcript, 7183 nt
Organism: Mesoplodon densirostris (Blainville's beaked whale)
Lineage: Eukaryota; Metazoa; Chordata; Mammalia; Artiodactyla; Ziphiidae
Gene: NRIP1
Gene name: nuclear receptor interacting protein 1
Exons: 5
Source: RefSeq, a predicted model, not a curated record
GGCGGCGGAGGAGGAGGAGGCGGCGGCCGAGGCGGAGGGACGACCCGGCCCCACGCCCGCCCGCGCGCCCGCACGCCCGCCCGUGGCCUCGCGUCCGCCGCUGCACUCGGCAGUGCUGCCGGUCGGAGGCAAGAGCUCGCUGGGGCGCCGAGGGAGGACGGGGCGGCAGGGCGCCUUCGCGGAGUGAGCCUGCCGGAGCCCCGGGCUCGGAGCCGCGGCGGCCUCGGAGAGUGUUUGGAUUGUGAGCAAUUUAAGCGCUAUCCUCAGGAUCCAUUAUUUUAACAUUUGGGAGAAACACAUCCAGAAGAUACACACUAGAUUGAAGGAGGAGUGGGGAAUCUGAAGACUCCAAAUGGCAUCAGAGCUACUUUUCAACAGCCUUCUCAGUUUCCUUUCUCAGAAAGCAGAGACUCAAUCCUUGGAGACAGACGAAUACUGAUAUUUGCAUUUAUUGUGGAACAAAAGGUGAAGAAGGAGAAACAGUAUAUUCACUAAGGAUUCUAUCUGCUUGCUGCUGCAGACCUGUGUGUUGAGGAAUUCUGCUGCUGCUUCUUGCUUGGGAGUUAUCAAGUCUGCAGUCAGGCUGCAUUGGGAGUCCCUUGCCUUUUGUCUCAUCAUUGCCAACCAGCAGGCCAAUCCCAGUCGGAACGGAACAGUACACCUCUGUCUAAUUACUAUGGAAGGUGAGAAACCGACAUUCACUAAUUGAAGUUACAUCUCACUCACCCACAGAAAAACCAUUCUUCAAAGUGAAUAGAAACCAAGCCUUUGUGAACACUUCUAUUGAACAUGACUCAUGGAGAAGAGCUUGGCUCUGAUGUGCACCAGGAUUCUAUUGUUUUAACUUACCUAGAAGGAUUACUAAUGCAUCAGGCAGCAGAGGGAUCAGGUACUGCCAUCGACAAAAAGUCUGCUGGCUGUGAUGAGGAAGAUCAGAACUUUAACAUUUCUGGUAAUGCAUUUCCCACCUGUCAAAGUAAUGGUCCAGUUCUCAACACACAUACAUAUCAGGGAUCUGGCAUGCUGCAUCUCAAAAAAGCCAGACUCUUGCAGUCUUCGGAGGACUGGAAUGCAGCGAAGCGGAAGAGGCUGUCUGAUUCCAUCGUAAAUUUAAACGUAAAGAAGGAAGCUUUGCUGGCUGGCAUGGCUGACAGUGUGCCUAAAGGCAAACAGGAUAACACGGUACUGGCCUCUUUGCUUCAGUCGUUCAGCUCUAGGCUGCAGACUGUUGCUCUGUCACAACAGAUUAGGCAGAGCCUCAAGGAGCAAGGAUACGCCCUCAGUCAUAAUUCUUUAAAAGUGGAGAAAGAUUUAAGGUGCUACGGUGUCGCGUCAAGUCACUUAAAAACGUUGCUGAAGAAAAGUAAAGCUAAAGAUCAAAAGCCUGAUACCAGUCUCCCUGACAUAACUAAAAACCUCAUCAGAGAUAGGUUCGUAGAGUCACCUCAUCAUGUUGGACAGAGUGGCACAAAGGUCAUGAGUGAACCCUUGUCAUGUGCUGCGAGGUUACAGGCUGUCGCAAGCAUGGUGGAAAAAAGGGCUAGUCCUGCCACGUCACCCAAGCCGAGCGUUGCUUGUAGCCAAUUAGCAUUACUCCUUUCAAGCGAAGCCCAUUUACAGCAGUAUUCUCGAGAACACGCUUUAAAAACACAAAAUGCAAAUCAGGCGGCAAGUGAAAGACUUGCUGCUAUGGCCAGAUUACAAGAAAAUGGCCAAAAGGAUGUGGGCAGUUUCCAGUUCUCAAAAGGAAUGUCAAGCCAUCUGAAUGGUCAGGCAAGGACAUCAUCAAACAAACUAAUGGCUAGCAAAAGUACAACAUUUCAGAAUCCGAUGGGUAUUGUUCCUUCUUCCCCCAAAAAUGCAGGCUAUAAGAACUCACUGGAAAGAAGCAAUGCCAAACAAGCUGCUAACAACAGUUUGCUUUUACAUCUUCUUAAAAGCCAGACCAUACCUAAGCCAAUGAACGGACACAGUCAUAGUGAGAAAGGAAGCCUUUUUGAGGAGAGCAGUACACCCACAACUAUUGAUGAAUACUCAGAUAACAAUCCUAGUUUUACAGAUGAUAGCAGUGGUGACGAAAGUUCAUAUUCCAACUGUGUUCCCAUAGACUUGUCUUGCAAACACCGAAUCGAAAAAGCAGAACCUGACCAGCCUGUUUCUCUGGAUAACUUAACUCAGUCCUUGCUAAACACUUGGGAUCCAAAAGUCCCCGAAGUAGAUAUCAAAGAAGAUCAAGAUACCUCAAAGAAUUCUAAGCUAAAUUCACACCAGAAAGUAACCCUUCUUCAGUUGCUACUUGGCCAUAAGAAUGAAGAAAAUGUAGAAAGAAACAGCAGCCCUCAGGAACCACACAGUGAUGGGACAAAGUUCAGCACACAUAAUUACACGCGGACUUCUGUCAUAGAAAGCCCUAGUACCAGCAGGACUACUCCAGUGAGCACUCCACCAUUACUUGCAUCCACCAAAGCCGAGUCUCCCAUCAACCUUUCCCAACACUCUCUGGUCAUCAAGUGGAAUUCCCCACCGUAUGCCUGUGGCCCUCAGUCUGAAAAGCCAACGAAUACCGUGUCGAACCACCUGAUGGACCUUACAAAAAGCAAAGAAUCGCAAGGGGAGAAACCAGUCCAAAAUGAAGGCACACAAAACUCUGCCACUUUCAGUGCCAGUAAACUGUUACAAAAUUUAGCACAAUGUGGAAUGCAGUCUUCCGUGUCAGGGGAAGAGCAGAGACCCAGUAAACAGCUGCUGAGUGUAAGCACGGAGAAACCUACAGGUAUGACUGAUAGACUAAAUAGCCCUCUGCUCUCAAAUAAAGCAAAUGCAGUUGAAGAAAAGAAAGCGUUCGGCAGUCACGCAACAGGUCCUGAACCAGGACUUUCUGGUUCCGAAAUAGAAAAUCUGCUUGAAAGGCGCACCGUCCUCCAGUUGCUGCUGGGAAACCCCAACAAAGGGAAGCCCGAAAAGAAAGAGAAGAUUCCCUUAAGAGACGAAAGUACUCAGGAACAUACAGAUAGAGCUUUAAGUGAACAAAUACUGAUGGUGAAAAUAAAAUCUGAGCCUUGCGAUGACUUGCAUACGCAUACCACAAAUGUGCCCUUGAGCCACGACGCUCAGGGCGCCCCCUUCUUAGGCGUGGCUCCUGCCUUGCAGGGAAGCACAGCUGUCUUACCAGCAUCCGAGGACUUCAAAUCGGAGCCGGUCUCACCUCAGGAUUUUUCUUUCUCUAAGAACGGUCUGCUAAGUCGGCUGCUGAGACAAAACCAAGAGAGUCACCUGGCUGAUGACCUGGACAGCAGUCACAGAAAUAGUGAACUGACACUUCUAGAAUCAAAGAAUCUUUGCAUGGUCCCUAAAAAAAGGAAGCUUCAUACUGAGCCGUUAGAAAAUCCAUUUAAAAAGAUGAAAAAUAACAUAGUCGAUGCUGCAGACAGUCACAGUGCUCCGAAGGUGCUGUAUGGGUCCUUGCUUAACCAGCAAGAGCUGAAGCUUAGCAGAAAUGAUCUUGAGUUUAAAUAUCCUGCCAGUCAUGGUUCAGCCAGUGACAGUGAACACAGGAAUUGGGCCAGAGAGAGCAAAAGCUUCAACGUUCUGAAACAGCUGCUUCUCUCCGAAAACUGUGUGAGAGAUUUGUCUCAGCACAGGAGUAAUUCUGUCGUCGACAGUAAAAAAAAAGGACACAGAAACCAUGUGACCAAUAGCAAGCCUGAAUUCAGCAUAUCUUCUCUAAACGGACUCAUGUACAGUGCUGCUCAGCCCAACAGCUGCAUGGGCCACAGGACAUUUCCAUACCCGGGUGUAGGAAAACCUCCUGUGAGCCCUCCUUUCCCCGAGCACUUGGGCUGCACAGGGUCUAGACCAGAAUCUGGGCUUGUGAAUGGGUGUUCCGUGCCCAGUGAGAAGGGACCCAUCAAGUGGGUUAUCACAGAUGUGGAUAAGAAUGAGUAUGAGAAAGACUCUCCGAGACUGACCAAAACUAACCCAAUACUGUAUUACAUGCUCCAAAAAGGAGGCAAUUCUGUUACCAGUCGAGAAACACAGGACAAGGACAUUUGGAGAGAGCCUUCAUCUGCUGAAAGUAUCUCACAGGUUACAGUCAAAGAAGAGCUACUUCCCGCUGCAGAAACUAAAGCUUCUUUCUUUAAUUUAAGAAGCACUUACAAUAGCCAUAUGGGAAAUAAUGCCUCUCACUCACACAGUGCAAAUGGAGAAGUUUAUGGACUUCUGGGAAACGUGCUAACAAUAAAAAAGGAAUCAGAAUAAAAUGUACCUGCCAUCCGUCUUUGGAUCUUUUUAAAACUAACUAGUAUGAACUUGAGAUCUGUAUAAAUAAGCGCAUGAUUUGAGAAAAGCAUGGUAUAAUUGAAACUUUUUCAUUUUGAAAAGAAUUGGUUACUGUGAUGUUUAAAUAUGCAUACUACUUCUUGCUUUACAUUAGAUGUCAUGAGGAAGCUGCUGAACUAGCAAUUGGUUGUUUAACACCUUCUUAUGCAUCAGACAACAACUAAUUAGGAAAGUUAACAUGUAUCUUCAGGUGGUUUCCUGAAUAGUUGAAAUAAGUUGUUUUUAACAAGCAAAAUGGCUUUUCUUUGGACAAUUUUCACCAUCUCUUGUAAAAGCUACUUCUCACCAUUUCUGUGGUACCUGUGAGUCUUAUGACCAGGCUUUCUUAAAGUUGGACUCAGACCACCUGCAUUAGAAUCAUCUGGAGCACUUGUUUUAAAAUGCAGAUUCCUAGGCAGCAUCUCAGAUCUACAGAACAAGAAUCUCUGCUAAGUGGACCUGGGAAUCUCCCUUCUGCAUCUUAAUAUACUCCCUAGGUGUUUCUUCUGCACACUGAAAUUUGAAUUUUGAAAAUUGAAACCAUUGCCUAUGACUUCUCUCAACACAGGAUUGUGAACAAACUAUUUGAUGCCUAUAUUUUCCCCAGUACAGUCACACAUCAACUCAAAAUUUGCAAUAUUGUACUUCAUAUAUUACUGCUAUGUCUUUGGAAAUCGGGUUCAGAAUACUUUUUAUGACAAAAAAAAAUCGGGUGGAGGGGACAACUUUCAUAUUUGGCUCAACAUCUCAGGAAAAUCUGUGAUUAUUUGUGUGUUCUAAUGAGUAACAUCUACUUAAUUAGCCUUAGGGAUGGAAUAACAGGGCCACUUACCAAACUCAGGUGAUUCCAGGAUGGUUUGGCAACUCCUCCUGAAUACAUCCUUAACUUCUCUUAAAACCAUUGUCCUAAGAACAGUGCUGACAAAGAUGAAAACAUUUAUUUCAAACCCAAGAAAGGCACUAAACUCAGAUAGACUAAACAAAAAAGUACAAAGGGCACAUAUACAUGACAAAUUUGUACACAGUCACUCCAUCGGAUCUGUUAUUUUAAAAUAGUGAUUAAAAGUAAACAUUGAUGUUUUCUUGGAAGAACUUAAUGUGUUAUUGAGCCGCAUGGGGUUUCUAUCUUGAAACAAGUCCAUGCUUUUCAGUUCAGUUUUUACAAUCCACAGUUCUUUCACCAGAUAUUUUUGGGUUUAAUUGUGAACUGAGUUAGCAACUGACCUAUCAAAAAAUUGUUAUAUAAUCGACUGUUAAUUAGAAGGAAAUCUAUUUGAAAUUGUUCUACUUGAGGUUGUUUCUAAGAUUUUUAUAUUAAAAAUGGGCGUUAUUUCCUAAUAUGAUCUAAAACCCUAAAUGAUUAUUUUUUUCUCAAAAUAAUUUGUAAAUAGUUACUGGAUAUAUUAUAAAAUAAUAGGAGCGAAUAUUAUGCUACAUCAUGAAAAUUCCACUGGCCAGUGAAGAUUUUCAACUCCAUCCCAUCUUUAUUCUGUGACAAUCUUAUUGUCUACACUGUAUAAAUAAGCUUUUAAGCAAGUCAUUUUUUUCUGCCAUUGUGAAAGGUCUGGAGCCUUAGAAGUAUGCUAGAAAAAAAUAUUGAUAUUCCCCCUUGGUUAGGGGAAAAUGGGCUUUUACAAGGGGGUGAAAUUUAGGUCAGGAAAGAGAGCAUCAAGGGCCAGCGUUGCUUUUUUUUUGUUUCUUUGGUUGGUCAUUUGUUUUGUUGUUGUUGUUACUGUUGUCAACAGUCAAAGAAACGAGGGUAUGUCAUAUAUAAAUAAACAUGACCACAAAGAAACCUGUUCUGAUUUACUAGAGUGUCCCCAAUUUGAGUUUAGUAUGAUUUUAAAGAAGAGUGGUGAGAAAGGGCCUACAUCCAUAAAUGCACUUCAUUUAUGCAUAUGUAGAUACAAGGAUGCACAUAUACACAUUUUCAAGGACUAUUUUAGAUAUCUAGACAAUUUCUUCCUAAUAAAGUCAUUUGUGAAAGGGUACUACAGCUCUCAUUGACAUCAGUAAGGUAGCAUUACCUGUUUAUUCUCUGCUGCAUCUUACAGAAGAGUAAACUGGUGAGAGUAUAUAUUUUAUAUAUAUAUAUAUAUAUAUAUAUAAUAUGUAUAUAUAUAUAUAUUGACUUGUUACAUGAAGAUGUUAAAAUUGGUUUUUAAAGGUGAUGUAAAUAGUGAUUUCCUUAAUGAAAAAUACAUAUUUUGUAUUGUUCUAAUACAACAGAAAAGCCUUUUAAUCUCUUUGGUUUCUGUAUAUUCCAUGUAUAAGUGUAAAUAUAAUCGGACAGGUUUAAAAAUUGUGCAUGUGUGUAUACAGUUGCAAGUCUGGACAAAUGUAUAGAGUAAGCCUUUUAUUUAAGUUGUGAUUACCUGCUGCAUGAAAAGUGCAUGGGGGACCCUGUGCAUCUGUGCAUUUGGCAAAAUGUCUUAAGCAGUCAGAUCAGAUAUUCAUCCCAACAUAACAGUAUUCCAUUUCUGGACAUGACUUCCGUGGUUUAAGCUUUGUGAAAGAAUGUGCUUUGAAUCCAAGGGUCUUAAAACUUUUUAAAUCAAGUCAACCACUUUUCAACAUAAAGAAUUCACACAACUACUUUCAUGAAUUUUUUAAUCCCAUUGGAAACAUAAUAAUAUACCAGGAGUAUUCCAGUAUACUGGAAUACAGGCACAUUACCAUUCAUGGUAUGAAUUCUGGGGUUUACACAACCAAUUUUGAUGCGAUAUGCUCAGUAAUAUAAUUUGUCAUUUUUAUUAGAAAUUUAAUUUCUUCAUGUGAUGUCAUGAAACUGUACAUACUGCAGUGUGAAUUUUUUGUUUUGUUUUUUAAUCUUUUAGUGUUUACUUCCUGCAGUGAAUUUGAA